RNAcentral lists this transfer RNA (71 nucleotides) under Loxodonta africana (African savanna elephant). It matches the Rfam family "tRNA". Rfam says of the family: Transfer RNA (tRNA) molecules are approximately 80 nucleotides in length. Their secondary structure includes four short double-helical elements and three loops (D, anti-codon, and T loops). Further hydrogen bonds mediate the characteristic L-shaped molecular structure. tRNAs have two regions of fundamental functional importance: the anti-codon, which is responsible for specific mRNA codon recognition, and the 3' end, to which the tRNAs corresponding amino acid is attached (by aminoacyl-tRNA synthetases). tRNAs cope with the degeneracy of the genetic code in two manners: having more than one tRNA (with a specific anti-codon) for a particular amino acid; and 'wobble' base-pairing, i.e. permitting non-standard base-pairing at the 3rd anti-codon position. Lineage: Eukaryota; Metazoa; Chordata; Mammalia; Proboscidea; Elephantidae. The record is from Rfam by way of RNAcentral.
GCAUUGGUGAUUCAGUGGUAGAGUUCUCACCUUCCACGCAGGAGACCCGGGUUCGAUUCCCAGGCAAAGCA